Molecule: ribosomal RNA, 484 nt
Filed under: uncultured bacterium
Lineage: Bacteria
Description: partial 16S ribosomal RNA
Rfam family: Bacterial small subunit ribosomal RNA
Source: RNAcentral
AUUGAACGCUAGCGGGAUGCUCUACACAUGCAAGUCGAACGGCAGCGCGGACUUCGGUCUGGCGGCGAGUGGCGAACGGGUGAGUAAUGUAUCGGAACGUGCCCAGUAGCGGGGGAUAACUACGCGAAAGCGUAGCUAAUACCGCAUACGCCCUACGGGGGAAAGCAGGGGAUCGUAAGACCUUGCACUAUUGGAGCGGCCGAUAUCGGAUUAGCUAGUUGGUGAGGUAACGGCUCACCAAGGCGACGAUCCGUAGCUGGUUUGAGAGGACGACCAGCCACACUGGGACUGAGACACGGCCCAGACUCCUACGGGAGGCAGCAGUGGGGAAUUUUGGACAAAGGGGGCAACCCUGAUCCAGCCAUCCCGCGUGUGCGAUGAAGGCCUUCGGGUUGUAAAGCACUUUUGGCAGGAAAGAAACGUCGCGGGCUAAUACCCCGUGGAACUGACGGUACCUGCAGAAUAAGCACCGGCUAACUACGUG